UACGAAGGGGGCUAGCGUUGCUCGGAAUCACUGGGCGUAAAGCGCACGUAGGCGGAUUGUUAAGUCAGGGGUGAAAUCCUGGAGCUCAACUCCAGAACUGCCUUUGAUACUGCAAAUCUCGAGUCCGGAAGAGGUGAGUGGAAUUCCUAGUGUAGAGGUGAAAUUCGUAGAUAUUAGGAAGAACACCAGUGGCGAAGGCGGCUCACUGGUCCGGUACUGACGCUGAGGUGCGAAAGCGUGGGGAGCAAACAGG
RNAcentral lists this ribosomal RNA (253 nucleotides) under uncultured bacterium. RNAcentral describes it as "partial 16S ribosomal RNA". It matches the Rfam family "Bacterial small subunit ribosomal RNA", at positions 524 to 776 of the family's 1533-position model. The record is from RNAcentral.